CUUUGCCUGGCACAAAUAAUUCCUAUGAAUCAGGUUGAGCAUCGAAAGGGAACAUAGCUGGAAGAUGGAUUUUCUUCCAAGAGCAGAGAAAUGAAAGUGAUCACAGGAAGGGAUGGAAGGCAUCAAGGAAAGUCAGUAUGUAGAUAAGAAAACUAGGGAAAAAAACAAAAUUGAAAGCCAGGAAUAGCUGAAGCAAGUCAUAAAUGCACAGCACCAGCUCUUAGGGCAGGCCUGGGGUAGGGUCAUCUCCACAUAUUAGAGCCAUCCUCUCACUAGGUGCUACUGGAUGCUAAAAUCUUAUGAGCAGAAGCAGUUUUCAGGUUUUCUGCUGGAAAGGUAGCUUUUGGGGGAAAGAGGUGUUUUGAUUUCAUUUGUCUUCUCACUAUAAGAGUAUUUAAAGGGAAAAAACCUAUUUAUAAUGAGUAGAAUACCAUGCCUUACCCCAAAUAAACUUCCAUUUUGAAUGGUUGUUCCUAGAAUAAGAAACACCAAAUAAUUUUCAGUGUGCUUGAUUUUUAUAUUUGAGGCAUAUGAAAUUUCAAAAUCACAAAGGGGGUAAUUUUAACAGAUUUAAAAUUGAUAGUCUUCUGUUGAUCUAUAUUUAUAAUUAUUUAUCCACACACUAUGUGCUCCUAAAAUAAAAUGUUUGAAGUUUUUUAUUCAAAUGUGAUAAGACCAAAACUGAACUCACUGUUCCUUCGCCCACCCCAAACCUUCUUCUCUCUUAAACCUCUUCUUGGGAAAUGGCACCACACAGGCAAAUGCUAAAGCUGGAAUGAGGGUAUCCUGGCUUGUCUCCUUUGCUUUCUGCAUGUAAUUCACUCUUUCAACUAACAUUUACUAAGUGCCAGUCAUUCUGCUAGUCUUCCAGGGAACCUGGAGUUAGGAAUAUGAGAUUGAAGGGCCAGGGAUUUAGCUCCGUGGUUCUGGUGCCUGCCGCAUAAGCGCAAGGUCCUAAGUUUGAUCCCUGGUACAAAAAAUAUAUAUAUAUGAGAUUGACAUUAAUUGGAUGGUCUCACCAGUGAAUGUACAAGUUACAGAUGGAGAGAAAGUUUGGAGGAAAAGGAGCCCAACUCUGGGGGAGAUGCACAGGACUUUGGACUUCCCUGGAAUGUGGCCCUUAUUUGGACUCUGGUUUCUGUAUGCAAAGGGUUUUGAUAAAGAGCCGGUGAUGGAUUCAAGGUGUUUUCAAAAGGAAUACAGCUAUGCCAAUUCUGUCUCCACCUGUUCCCUACUAUACAUUCCCUUUCCUCCAUCCCAUGACCAUUGCUGGUAUGAGCCUCUGUCAGCUCCCCCCUGGG
RNAcentral lists this long non-coding RNA (1301 nucleotides) under Heterocephalus glaber (naked mole-rat). RNAcentral's name for it is "lncRNA (ENSHGLG00000036568.1)". Lineage: Eukaryota; Metazoa; Chordata; Mammalia; Rodentia; Bathyergidae. The record is from RNAcentral.